AGAUUGAACGCUGGCGGCAUGCCUUACACAUGCAAGUCGAACGGCAGCACGGGAGCAAUCCUGGUGGCGAGUGGCGAACGGGUGAGUAAUACAUCGGAACGUGCCCAAUCGUGGGGGAUAACGCAGCGAAAGCUGUGCUAAUACCGCAUAAGAUCUACGGAUGAAAGCAGGGGAUCGACAAGACCUUGCGCGAAUGGAGCGGCCGAUGGCAGAUUAGGUAGUUGGUGAAGGUAAAGGCUCACCAAGCCUUCGAUCUGUAGCUGGUCUGGAGACGGACGACCAGGCCCA
This 288-nucleotide ribosomal RNA is filed under the name uncultured soil bacterium. RNAcentral's name for it is "partial 16S ribosomal RNA". It matches the Rfam family "Bacterial small subunit ribosomal RNA", at positions 26 to 312 of the family's 1533-position model. The record is from RNAcentral.